RNAcentral lists this ribosomal RNA (417 nucleotides) under Listeria monocytogenes. Its description in RNAcentral is "bacterial SSU rRNA". It matches the Rfam family "Bacterial small subunit ribosomal RNA", at positions 1097 to 1514 of the family's 1533-position model. The record is from RNAcentral. Lineage: Bacteria; Bacillati; Bacillota; Bacilli; Caryophanales; Listeriaceae.
CGCAACCCUUAUUGUUAGUUGCCAUCAUUUAGUUGGGCACUCUAGCGAGACUGCCGGUGACAAACCGGAGGAAGGUGGGGAUGACGUCAAAUCAUCAUGCCCCUUAUGACCUGGGCUACACACGUGCUACAAUGGGAAGUACAACGAGUUGCGAAGUCGCGAGGCUAAGCUAAUCUCUUAAAGCUUCUCUCAGUUCGGAUUGUAGGCUGCAACUCGCCUACAUGAAGCCGGAAUCGCUAGUAAUCGCGGAUCAGCACGCCGCGGUGAAUACGUUCCCGGGCCUUGUACACACCGCCCGUCACACCACGAGAGUUUGUAACACCCGAAGUCGGUGAGGUAACCUUUUUGGAGCCAGCCGCCUAAGGUGGGAUAGAUGAUUGGGGUGAAGUCGUAACAAGGUAGCCGUAUCGGAAGGUG